UACGGGGGGGGCAAGCGUUGUUCGGAAUUACUGGGCGUAAAGGGCUCGUAGGCGGCCAACUAAGUCAGACGUGAAAUCCCUCGGCUUAACCGGGGAACUGCGUCUGAUACUGGAUGGCUUGAGUUCGGGAGAGGGAUGUGGAAUUCCAGGUGUAGCGGUGAAAUGCGUAGAUAUCAGGAGGAACACCGAUGGCGAAGGCAGGUCUCUGGGCUGACACUGACGCUCAUGCACGAAAGCGUGGGGAGCAAACAGG
RNAcentral lists this ribosomal RNA (253 nucleotides) under uncultured bacterium. Its description in RNAcentral is "partial 16S ribosomal RNA". It matches the Rfam family "Bacterial small subunit ribosomal RNA", at positions 524 to 776 of the family's 1533-position model. The record is from RNAcentral.